UACAGAGGUCUCAAGCGUUGUUCGGAUUCAUUGGGCGUAAAGGGUGCGUAGGCGGCGCGGUAAGUCGGGUGUGAAAUUUCGGAGCUUAACUCCGAAACUGCAUUCGAUACUGCUGUGCUUGAGGACUGGAGAGGAGACUGGAAUUUACGGUGUAGCGGUGAAAUGCGUAGAUAUCGUAAGGAAGACCAGUGGCGAAGGCGGGUCUCUGGACAGUUCCUGACACUGAGGCACGAAGGCCAGGGGAGCAAACGGG
Molecule: ribosomal RNA, 253 nt
Filed under: uncultured bacterium
Lineage: Bacteria
Description: partial 16S ribosomal RNA
Rfam family: Bacterial small subunit ribosomal RNA
Source: RNAcentral